This 467-nucleotide ribosomal RNA is filed under the name uncultured bacterium. RNAcentral's name for it is "partial 16S ribosomal RNA". It matches the Rfam family "Bacterial small subunit ribosomal RNA", at positions 28 to 507 of the family's 1533-position model. The record is from RNAcentral.
GAUGAACGCUGGCGGCGUGCUUAACACAUGCAAGUCGAACGGUGAAGCAGAGCUUGCUCUGUGGAUCAGUGGCGAACGGGUGAGUAACACGUGAGCAACCUGCCCCUGACUCUGGGAUAAGCGCUGGAAACGGCGUCUAAUACUGGAUAUGAGCUGCGGCCGCAUGGUCAGCAGUUGGAAAGAUUUUUCGGUCUGGGAUGGGCUCACGGCCUAUCAGCUUGUUGGUGAGGUAAUGGCUCACCAAGGCGUCGACGGGUAGCCGGCCUGAGAGGGUGACCGGCCACACUGGGACUGAGACACGGCCCAGACUCCUGCGGGAGGCAGCAGUGGGGAAUAUUGCACAAUGGGCGAAAGCCUGAUGCAGCAACGCCGCGUGAGGGAUGACGGCCUUCGGGUUGUAAACCUCUUUUAGCAGGGAAGAAGCGAAAGUGACGGUACCUGCAGAAAAAGCGCCGGCUAACUACGUG